UACGUAGGGUGCAAGCGUUGUCCGGAAUUAUUGGGCGUAAAGAGCGCGCAGGCGGCUUGGUAAGUCGGAUGGGAAAACCCGAGGCUCAACCUCGGGCGUGCAUCCGAAACUGCUCGGCUAGAGGUAGGUAGGGGAGAUCGGAAUUCCUGGUGUAGCGGUGAAAUGCGCAGAUAUCAGGAGGAACACCAAUGGCGAAGGCAGCACUCUGGGACGUGACUGAUGCUGAGACGCGAAAGCUUGGGGAGCAAACAGG
RNAcentral lists this ribosomal RNA (253 nucleotides) under uncultured bacterium. RNAcentral's name for it is "partial 16S ribosomal RNA". It matches the Rfam family "Bacterial small subunit ribosomal RNA", at positions 524 to 776 of the family's 1533-position model. The record is from RNAcentral.